Molecule: transfer RNA, 69 nt
Filed under: Marmota monax (woodchuck)
Lineage: Eukaryota; Metazoa; Chordata; Mammalia; Rodentia; Sciuridae
Description: tRNA.Ala
Source: RNAcentral
GUUGUAGCUCAGUGGUAGAGUGCUUACCUAGCAUAGGGUGAGGCACUGGGUUCGAUCCUCAGAACCACA